GUCAACGCACGUUCGGGUCACUGCGCCAGUAUAUUUACGACCCAGACUUGAGAUUUUUUACAUAUUCUUUCUUUCACACAUCAUGGUUUCUUUUCAAACCGGAUUCGCUUAUCAAUUAGUUUUAUCAUGUUGGAUAGUGUUUUGUGCAACAUCAGCACAAGACACCACACCACUGCGACGGAUUUUAAUACCGACAUCUCGACCAUGGAAUCCUUUUAAUGGAAAUACUAACUAUGACCAAACUCAACCGCUGCCAGACUCAAACAAUCAACCAUACUGGGGUAGACGUCACUGGGGUGGGUGCCCUAUGUGCGGUGGUGGAUGGGGUCCUGGCAGAGGGUGGGGACCGGGCGGAGGUUGGGGUCGUGGCGGCAGAGGAUGGGGCCCUGGCGGUGGAGGGGGUCCUGGUGGCAGAGGAUGGGGUCCUGGCGGCGGAGGAGGGGGUCCUGGCGGUAGAGGAUGGGGACCUGGCUGGAGAUGGGGUGGUAGAGGAGGACGAGGGUGGGGACCUGGCUGGAGAUGGGGAGCUGGAGGUUAUGGUACCAAUGGCAAUGGAUUGAGCAAUACCAACACCCCAGUACAGUGAGAAAAGUCCAUCUUUCAGCAUCCUGAGGAUUUGAUGUUCAUCCAGACUGGAUACUGGCGCGUGUUUACAAGACGAUUUCAACAAAAUAAGAUGGAGUACUAUAAAAAGUUUAACUUAAAAACUAUCCUUUAAAACAGACAAUAACAUAACACCAAUGUUAAAGAAAGUUACUUAUUAUUCUCAUGUCAGUAUGUUACUUGUUUAUUAAAAAUACCAAUAAUUGUUGUUGUGUUCUUCAAAUCGCAAAACCAUAAAACUGAUACUUCAACAAAA
This is a long non-coding RNA of Gigantopelta aegis, 859 nucleotides long. RefSeq lists it as uncharacterized. The transcript is spliced from 3 exons. Lineage: Eukaryota; Metazoa; Mollusca; Gastropoda; Neomphalida; Peltospiridae. The record is from RefSeq and is a predicted model, not a curated record.